RNAcentral lists this long non-coding RNA (317 nucleotides) under Phoenix dactylifera (date palm). Its description in RNAcentral is "long non-coding RNA (PDAC_LNC003128)". The record is from RNAcentral. Lineage: Eukaryota; Viridiplantae; Streptophyta; Magnoliopsida; Arecales; Arecaceae.
UGAUGUUAGUUUAUGAUUGGGUCGUGGCCGAGUGAGUGGUAGUCUUGAUUAUGCUCCUUUUUAGUAGAGUAUUGGAAGGGUGCAUUAUGGCAUUUAUGCAUGGCUUGGCAGUAUCUACAGGACACCUAUAGUCGAUGGGGUUGAACAUCGGCCUGUGUGCACAUAGUAGCCUUCUGGGUGGGCGGAGCCUAGUCCCUUCCUAGGGAGGGACACGGCCCUAGGCGUAGGAUCGGCCGGUCCUACGACUUAUAUUCUGCUUGCCGCCGGGCAUAGUAAGACCCCGCGAGGUGCAGUAUGGCUUUCCGCGGAUGUAGAAU